This 363-nucleotide long non-coding RNA is filed under the name Felis catus (domestic cat). RNAcentral describes it as "lncRNA (ENSFCAG00000041556.2)". The record is from RNAcentral. Lineage: Eukaryota; Metazoa; Chordata; Mammalia; Carnivora; Felidae.
AUGAUUACAAUAUAUCAUCUAACUGAAAUUAUUUUUCAAGUUUUUAAUCUACUUAGUGACAUCUUGAAAUCAUUUCAUUCAUUUAUUCAUCCUUCUACUUUUUUUCCUAAACACCUGUCCUAUGCAAGCAUUGAACUAGAUCCCGGAAGAUGUGCUGGCAGCUUCAAGUCUGAGUGUGGAGAUAGAAAAGGGAAAAAAAAAAAUGAAAGAAAAGAAAAAAAAAGUUGCUUCCUGCUCCAGUACUAUAGCAUAACACUUGUCACACUAAAUGACCAUUAGCUGUUUACUUACUAUUUUUUUUUAUUGCCAGCACUUUUCUGAAUUCUAGGCUGCUUUUACAAUAAAACAAAGUUUCUGUCCUCA